Molecule: long non-coding RNA, 247 nt
Organism: Ipomoea nil (Japanese morning glory)
Lineage: Eukaryota; Viridiplantae; Streptophyta; Magnoliopsida; Solanales; Convolvulaceae
Exons: 3
Source: RefSeq, a predicted model, not a curated record
CUAUAGUGGUUAGAAGAUCACUUUCAAUUUCAAUCCAACUCAUUCUAUGUUGGUGGAGACUCAUAUUCUGGUAUUACCGUUCCAAUGGUUGCUCAAGCAAUAUCAUAUGGGAUUGAUGCAAGAUUUAAGCCACAUGUUAAUCUUAAGGGUUACAUAAUUGGCAAUGGAAACACAUUUGCAGUUGACAUCCGCGAUUAUACUUACCGAACGGCUCGCGGAUUAGGUCGUAUUUCAGAAGAAGAGUAUA